UAAAACAUUCUACCCUAGCAAAAGUAAGGAACAGAUUCUUGCUAAUCCUCCUGAAACUGUGGAUUCUAGUGAUUGGACUGCUUUUGUGCAUCACUAUAAAGAGGAGAAGAUGAAGGUAAUUGUUCUUUUAUAAAAGAAAAUUUUUCUCACUUAAUUCAUGUCCAAUAUAUAUAUAUAUAUAUAUAUAUAUAUAUAUAUAUAUAAUUUGAUGUUUGAGAAUUGCGUACACAAAAUGAACAAAAUGCAAUAAAUCGAAGUAAACUUGAAGUCCCCCAUGCCGGUGGUAGCAAAAGCAAUGCAAGGAGAGGUCGUCAAAUGGAGAAAAAGUAUGGAAGGCCUGUGUGUUGAAGUGAGGUUGUUUUGUCAACUUUACUGAAAAAGAAUGGCAAUUAUGUGAAUGAAGAAGGGAAGAUUAUAGCUGAUAAAAUAACGCAGCAUCUAUCUGAAGAUCAAGAACAUGCUGCCACUUUAGGUGUUCCAUUGAAGAUAUUGGCUCAUCCUAAUGACGCCAUUGGAAAAGCAUAUGGAGCUGAACAUUCUGGUCGUGUGCGUGGUUUAGGUGGUAAUGUUUGCCCCUCGACUGCUUUUGGAAUGUCUAAACAUUCAAUUAGUCAUGUGAAUCUUGGUGGUUCUAGUAAUAUGCCUCAUCAACGUGUUGAAGACCUAGAGAAGCAUGUAGAAACCUUGGAAGGGAAGCUGACCGGAUAUGAAGAGACCAAGGAACAACUUGUGGAGACCAAGGAACGCCUUGUGCAAAACGAGAAUCACUUGGCAACUCUUCAUAGGUUUUUACAAGCUAAAUUUGGUAGUGAGUUGCCUAGUUUCACCUUAGAUUCUUCUUAGCCUUUUGUGCAUAGUAUGCUUUUGAAUUUAAACCACUAAAUAUGUGGUGAACCUCUAACUUUUUGCAUUUCCAUUAUGCUAGCAAUUGUGGUAUCUUUUUUGUAUAAUCAAGGCUUGAAACUUAUGUUUUGGUAUAUAUGAUAAAGUAGAAAUUGAAACUUUGAUCUUUAUAGCAAUACUUUUUGUAUUAUGACCAGUGUAAUCUGUGAAUGCCUAUUGUAAUUGUGUUUUGCAAAAAAAAAAAAAAAAUGCACAUUUGCCACGGUUCAACCGUGGCUAAAUAAAUAUGAUUAUUUUGUAAGCAAAUUGCAUAAUGCCUUAAUUAGCCACGGUUCUCAUGUGGGUAAUUAAAAAUUUCAAAUAUAAUUCUUUUUUCCUGCAGCCAAAUUUACCCAUGGUUUGGCCGUGGCUAAAUGUAAAGGCAAGCGUGGCUAAAUAAAGGUAACCACGGAUGCUAAAACCGUGGCUAAUGCGCGAGCGACGCCCCGUAUGGGCACGCUUGUAACCGUGGCUAAACUGUUGUGGCAAAGUUGUGUUAGCCACGGUUUUGGUGCCCUUUAGCCACGGUGUUGCGC
Lycium ferocissimum is the source of this 1418-nucleotide long non-coding RNA. RefSeq lists it as uncharacterized. NCBI's taxonomy places the organism in Eukaryota, Viridiplantae, Streptophyta, Magnoliopsida, Solanales, Solanaceae. The record is from RefSeq and is a predicted model, not a curated record. The transcript has 3 exons.